RNAcentral lists this ribosomal RNA (305 nucleotides) under uncultured bacterium. RNAcentral's name for it is "bacterial SSU rRNA". It matches the Rfam family "Bacterial small subunit ribosomal RNA", at positions 335 to 638 of the family's 1533-position model. The record is from RNAcentral.
CACCUACGGGGGGCAGCAGUGAGGAAUAUUGGUCAAUGGGCGGUAGCCUGAACCAGCCAAGUAGCGGGAAGGGUGAGGGUUCUAUGGAUUGUAAACUUCUUUUAUAAAGGAAUAAAGUGAGGCACGUGUGCCUUUUUGUAUGUACUUUAUGAAUAAGGCUCGGCUAACUCCGUGCCAGCAGCCGCGGUAAUACGUAGGAUCCGAGCGUUAUCCGGAUUUAUUGGGUUUAAAGGGAGCGUAGAUGUGUUAUGAAGUCAGUUGUGAAAGUUUGCUGCUCAACCGUAAAAUUGCAAUUGAUACUGGCG